Clupea harengus (Atlantic herring) is the source of this 598-nucleotide long non-coding RNA. The record is from Ensembl. NCBI's taxonomy places the organism in Eukaryota, Metazoa, Chordata, Actinopteri, Clupeiformes, Clupeidae.
CUGCCACGGCCAGUCAGCUUCUUUGUGAUCUGAAAUUUGAAAACAGUGAUGUUUAAUAUUACGCACUUUUUUUCCCUACAGCAGUAAGUGUAUGUAGAAUAAAUACACAGCACACAUUUAUAAUAACUGCUUAUAAUUUAAAUCAAUGUUAUUAGCUAACUAACUAGAACCAUACAACAGGUACAAUAAGCAAAUAGGUACAGUAGUCAACAAGUAAACACUGAAUGUGAGCAUGCUUUGAACAAUACACUGAGACACUGCAGCACAUAAACAUACACUAUUGUACCGUUAUCGUUAUCAAUAGCAAUCAUAUUAUGCAUGAUCAGUUACAGUAGUUGUAUGAUAUACGAGAAACGACGCUUAACACCGCUGGUGUACAGUACAGGUACAGUACAGGUACAGUAGUCAACAAGUAAACACUGAAUGUGAGCAUGCUUUGAACAAUACACUGAGACACUGCAGCACAUAAACAUACACUCCUGUACCGUUAUCGUUAUCAAUAGCAAUCAUAUUAUGCAUGAUCAGUUACAGUAGUUGUAUGAUAUACGAGAAACGACGCUUAACACCGCUGGUCAGGCGUCAUACACAGAUAGCAAGC